This is a long non-coding RNA of Xyrauchen texanus (razorback sucker), 373 nucleotides long. RefSeq lists it as uncharacterized. The transcript is spliced from 3 exons. Lineage: Eukaryota; Metazoa; Chordata; Actinopteri; Cypriniformes; Catostomidae. The record is from RefSeq and is a predicted model, not a curated record.
GCCAAAGAGUUUACCCCUGGGGCAAUUAAAGGACUUCGCUCAGGGUUUACUGCCCCUCCCUGCCAUAUAUACCAGACUGCGGCUCCAAUUCUCAACAUUAGUUUCUCGACACAGGCUACUGAGGUGGCUAAUGACACUCUGAUGUUGAAGAAUCUGGGACUGGAAACUAUUUUAGCUGCUCUGGCUCCGUUUGCCACUCUGUCCCCCACCAAUGUGCGGCUCAUCAAAGACAAACAGACGCAGCUCAAUCGAGGGUUUGCUUUCCUGCAGCUCACUACUAUUGUUGGAUGUUUUUCUGACAGAUGGGAGUCGGGUGAGUGUGGCGACAGUAGCAAGCACGGCUAUAGCAGAGGCUCAGUGGGCCGUUACUCAG